UACGAAGGGGGCUAGCGUUGUUCGGAAUUACUGGGCGUAAAGGGCGCGUAGGCGGUUAGGUAAGUCAGAAGUGAAAGCCCUGGGCUCAACCCGGGAAUUGCUUUUGAGACUAUCUAGCUUGAAUUCGGUAGAGGUAAGUGGAAUUCCCAGUGUAGAGGUGAAAUUCGUAGAUAUUGGGAAGAACACCAGUGGCGAAGGCGGCUUACUGGACCGACAUUGACGCUGAGGCGCGAAAGCGUGGGGAUCAAACAGG
This 253-nucleotide ribosomal RNA is filed under the name uncultured bacterium. Its description in RNAcentral is "partial 16S ribosomal RNA". It matches the Rfam family "Bacterial small subunit ribosomal RNA", at positions 524 to 776 of the family's 1533-position model. The record is from RNAcentral.